UGGGGAAUUUUGCGCAAUGGGCGAAAGCCUGACGCAGCAACGCCGCGUGGAGGAUGAAGGUUCUCUGAAUCGUAAACUCCUGUCGGCCGGGAAGAAUGGGCGGGGCGCUAAUCAGCUCCGUCUUGACUGUACCGGCAAAGGAAGCCCCGGCUAACUCCGUGCCAGCAGCCGCGGUAAUACGGAGGGGGCAAGCGUUACUCGGAAUUAUUGGGCGUAAAGGGCGCGUAGGCGGCCACGUGCGUCAGAGGUGAAAUCCCCCGGCUUAACCGGGGACCUGCCUCUGAUACGGCGCGGCUUGAGUCCGGGAGAGGGGAGCAGAAUUCCCAGUGUAGCGGUGAAAUGCGUAGAUAUUGGGAGGAAUACCGGUGGCGAAGGCGGCUCCCUGGACCGGUACUGACGCUGAGGCGCGAAAGCGUGGGUAGCAAACAGGAUUAGAUACCCCCGUAGUCC
RNAcentral lists this ribosomal RNA (450 nucleotides) under uncultured bacterium. Its description in RNAcentral is "bacterial SSU rRNA". It matches the Rfam family "Bacterial small subunit ribosomal RNA", at positions 355 to 796 of the family's 1533-position model. The record is from RNAcentral.